This 752-nucleotide ribosomal RNA is filed under the name Idiomarina sp. LAR6P15. Its description in RNAcentral is "bacterial SSU rRNA". It matches the Rfam family "Bacterial small subunit ribosomal RNA", at positions 395 to 1139 of the family's 1533-position model. The record is from RNAcentral. Lineage: Bacteria; Pseudomonadati; Pseudomonadota; Gammaproteobacteria; Alteromonadales; Idiomarinaceae.
UGCCGCGUGUGUGAAGAAGGCCUUAGGGUUGUAAAGCACUUUCAGUGGUGAGGAAGGCGUUGUAGUUAAUAGCUGCAACGAUUGACGUUAGCCACAGAAGAAGCACCGGCUAACUCCGUGCCAGCAGCCGCGGUAAUACGGAGGGUGCGAGCGUUAAUCGGAAUUACUGGGCGUAAAGCGCACGUAGGCGGCUUGUUAAGCAAGAUGUGAAAGCCCAGGGCUCAACCUUGGAAUUGCAUUUUGAACUGGCAAGCUAGAGUUUUGAAGAGGGUGGUAGAAUUUCCAGUGUAGCGGUGAAAUGCGUAGAUAUUGGAAGGAAUACCAGUGGCGAAGGCGGCCACCUGGUCAAAAACUGACGCUGAGGAGCGAAAGCGUGGGGAGCAAACAGGAUUAGAUACCCUGGUAGUCCACGCCGUAAACGAUGUCGACUAGUUGUUCGUGUCUUUAAGAUGUGAGUAACGCAGCUAACGCACUAAGUCGACCGCCUGGGGAGUACGGCCGCAAGGUUAAAACUCAAAUGAAUUGACGGGGGCCCGCACAAGCGGUGGAGCAUGUGGUUUAAUUCGAUGCAACGCGAAGAACCUUACCAUCCCUUGACAUCCAGAGAAUUAUCUAGAGAUAGAUGAGUGCCUUCGGGAACUCUGAGACAGGUGCUGCAUGGCUGUCGUCAGCUCGUGUUGUGAGAUGUUGGGUUAAGUCCCGCAACGAGCGCAACCCUUAUCCUUAGUUGCCAGCACAUAAUGGUGGGAACU